UACGGAGGGUGCCAGCGUUGUCCGGAAUUACUGGGCGUAAAGCGCUCGUAGGCGGUCGCGUACGGCAGUGGUGAAAGCUCCCGGCUCAACUGGGAGAUGCCCAUUGCAACGGCGUGACUUGAGGGUGGUAGAGGCAGAUGGAAUUCCCGGUGUAGCGGUGAAAUGCGUAGAGAUCGGGAGGAACACCCAUGGCGAAGGCAGUCUGCUGGGCCACACCUGACGCUGAGGAGCGAAAGCUAGGGGAGCGAACGGGAUUAGAUACCCCGGUAGUCCUAGCCGUAAACGAUGGAAACUGAGUGUCAGUGGUAUCGACCCCAUUGGUGCUGUAGCUAACGCGUGAAGUUUCCCGCCUGGGGAGUACGGCCGCAAGGUUG
This 374-nucleotide ribosomal RNA is filed under the name uncultured prokaryote. RNAcentral's name for it is "bacterial SSU rRNA". It matches the Rfam family "Bacterial small subunit ribosomal RNA", at positions 524 to 896 of the family's 1533-position model. The record is from RNAcentral.